Molecule: ribosomal RNA, 465 nt
Filed under: Triticum aestivum (bread wheat)
Lineage: Eukaryota; Viridiplantae; Streptophyta; Magnoliopsida; Poales; Poaceae
Description: partial small subunit ribosomal RNA
Source: RNAcentral
AUGGUUAUAGGGGAUUUUAAUGAAAUUCUAUACUCGUCAGAGAAGGACGGUGCCUCCCCCCCGCCAAUAACCCGGUUGCAGGCGUUCCAAGAUGCCUUGUCUGAUUGUAUGUUAGAGGAUAUCAGAUAUAAUGGGGAUAAAUUCACUUGGUUUCAUGGUGGGUUACGAUAGAGACUAGAUCGAGCGGUCACAAACGCUGCUUGGCUAUUGCUACACCCGUUCGCUAGUCUCAGUAACCUUGACAUGGGCAAAUCAUACCAGCGGCCCAUACUAAUGGACACCGAGUACCUGGCCGGGGUGGCGGACAGUAAUCCAAGAAGAGAUAAGAAGUUUGAAAUGAGGUGGUUGUCAGAAGAAUCUGUGAAUGAAAUUGUAAACACAGCAUGGCAAAAGGCUGUACGCCGUGGCUUGUGCCCUACUGUCAUGGAGAAAAUCAAUUCAGUACAUAGGGACCUGCAUGACUAG